This 757-nucleotide ribosomal RNA is filed under the name Streptomyces sp. EAGB38. Its description in RNAcentral is "bacterial SSU rRNA". It matches the Rfam family "Bacterial small subunit ribosomal RNA", at positions 148 to 916 of the family's 1533-position model. Lineage: Bacteria; Bacillati; Actinomycetota; Actinomycetes; Kitasatosporales; Streptomycetaceae. The record is from RNAcentral.
CCCUGGAAACGGGGUCUAAUACCGGAUAUGACUGUCCAUCGCAUGGUGGAUGGUGUAAAGCUCCGGCGGUGCAGGAUGAGCCCGCGGCCUAUCAGCUUGUUGGUGAGGUAGUGGCUCACCAAGGCGACGACGGGUAGCCGGCCUGAGAGGGCGACCGGCCACACUGGGACUGAGACACGGCCCAGACUCCUACGGGAGGCAGCAGUGGGGAAUAUUGCACAAUGGGCGAAAGCCUGAUGCAGCGACGCCGCGUGAGGGAUGACGGCCUUCGGGUUGUAAACCUCUUUCAGCAGGGAAGAAGCGAAAGUGACGGUACCUGCAGAAGAAGCGCCGGCUAACUACGUGCCAGCAGCCGCGGUAAUACGUAGGGCGCAAGCGUUGUCCGGAAUUAUUGGGCGUAAAGAGCUCGUAGGCGGCUUGUCACGUCGGUUGUGAAAGCCCGGGGCUUAACCCCGGGUCUGCAGUCGAUACGGGCAGGCUAGAGUUCGGUAGGGGAGAUCGGAAUUCCUGGUGUAGCGGUGAAAUGCGCAGAUAUCAGGAGAGAACACCGGUGGCGAAGGCGGGAUCUCUGGGCCGAUACUGACGCUGAGGAGCGAAAGCGUGGGGAGCGAACAGGAUUAGAUACCCUGUUAGUCCACGCCGUAACGGUUGGGCACUAGGUGUGGGCAACAUUCCACGUUGUUCCGUGCCGCAGCUAACGCAUUAAGUGCCCCGCUGGGGAGUACGGCCGGCAGGCUAAAACUCAAAGGAUUGACGG